GAUGAACGCUGGCGGCGUGCCUAAUACAUGCAAGUCGAGCGAACGGACGAGAAGCUUGCUUCUCUGAUGUUAGCGGCGGACGGGUGAGUAACACGUGGAUAACCUACCUAUAAGACUGGGAUAACUUCGGGAAACCGGAGCUAAUACCGGAUAAUAUUUUGAACCGCAUGGUUCAAAAGUGAAAGACGGUCUUGCUGUCACUUAUAGAUGGAUCCGCGCUGCAUUAGCUAGUUGGUAAGGUAACGGCUUACCAAGGCAACGAUGAAUAGCCGACCUGAGAGGGUGAUCGGCCACACUGGAACUAAGACACGGUCCAGACUCCUACGGGAGGCAGCAGUAGGGAAUCUUCCGCAAUGGGCGAAAGCCUGACGGAGCAACGCCGCGUGAGUGAUGAAGGUCUUCGGAUCGUAAAACUCUGUUAUUAGGGAAGAACAUAUGUGUAAGUAACUGUGCACAUCUUGACGGUACCUAAUCAGAAAGCCACGGCUAACUACGUG
RNAcentral lists this ribosomal RNA (497 nucleotides) under uncultured bacterium. RNAcentral's name for it is "partial 16S ribosomal RNA". It matches the Rfam family "Bacterial small subunit ribosomal RNA", at positions 28 to 507 of the family's 1533-position model. The record is from RNAcentral.